UGAGACCUCAGGUCAGGCGGGGAUACCCGCUGAAUUUAAGCAUAUCAAUAAGCGGAGGAAAAGAAACUAACAAGGAUUCC
RNAcentral lists this ribosomal RNA (80 nucleotides) under Galega orientalis. Its description in RNAcentral is "partial 28S ribosomal RNA". It matches the Rfam family "Eukaryotic large subunit ribosomal RNA", at positions 1 to 78 of the family's 3401-position model. Lineage: Eukaryota; Viridiplantae; Streptophyta; Magnoliopsida; Fabales; Fabaceae. The record is from RNAcentral.